AUUAGAUACCCUGGUAGUCCACGCAGUAAACGAUGAAUACUAAUUGUUCGGUUCGAUUGAGAGCUGAGUGAUACAGCGAAAGCGUUAAGUAUUCCACCUGGGGAGUACGCCGGCAACGGUGAAACUCAAAGGAAUUGACGGGGGCCCGCACAAGCGGAGGAACAUGUGGUUUAAUUCGAUGAUACGCGAGGAACCUUACCCGGGCUCAAACGACACAGGAAUAAUUUUGAAAGGAGUUAGCCCUACGGGGCCUGUGUCGAGGUGCUGCAUGGUUGUCGUCAGCUCGUGCCGUGAGGUGUCGGCUUAAGUGCCAUAACGAGCGCAACCCCUAUCGUCAGUAGCCAGCAUUAAGGAUGGGCACUCUGGAGAGACUGCCAGGGACAACCUGGAGGAAGGUGGGGAUGACGUCAAAUCAUCAUGCCCCUUAUGACCAGGGCUACACACGUGCUACAAUGGCGUAAACAAAGGGAAGCGACCAUGUGAAUGCGAGCAAAUCCCAAAAAUAACGUCUCAGUUCGGAUUGUAGUCUGCAACUCGACUACAUGAAGCUGGAAUCGCUAGUAAUCGCGAAUCAGAAUGUCGCGGUGAAUACGUUCCCGGGUCUUGUACACACCGCCCGUCACACCAUGUGAGUCGGAUAUGCCCGAAGUCAGUGACCUAACCGAAAGGAAGGAGCUGCCGAAGGUGGAGCCGGUAACUGGGGUGAAGUC
This 710-nucleotide ribosomal RNA is filed under the name uncultured bacterium. RNAcentral describes it as "bacterial SSU rRNA". It matches the Rfam family "Bacterial small subunit ribosomal RNA", at positions 777 to 1487 of the family's 1533-position model. The record is from RNAcentral.